RNAcentral lists this transfer RNA (51 nucleotides) under Drosophila bostrycha. RNAcentral describes it as "partial tRNA-Ala". The record is from RNAcentral. Lineage: Eukaryota; Metazoa; Arthropoda; Insecta; Diptera; Drosophilidae.
UUAUAACAUUUGAUUUGCAUUCAAAAAGUAUUGAUUUUUCAAUCUACCUUA